RNAcentral lists this ribosomal RNA (627 nucleotides) under uncultured bacterium. RNAcentral describes it as "bacterial SSU rRNA". It matches the Rfam family "Bacterial small subunit ribosomal RNA", at positions 56 to 730 of the family's 1533-position model. The record is from RNAcentral.
UGCAGUCGAGCGCACCCUUCGGGGCGAGCGGCGGACGGGUUAGUAACGCGUGGGAACAUACCCUUUUCUAUGGAAUAGCCUUUGGAAACGAAGAGUAAUACCAUAUACGCCCUUCGGGGGAAAGAUUUAUCGGAGAAGGAUUGGCCCGCGUAAGAUUAGAUAGUUGGUGGGGUAAUGGCCUACCAAGUCUACGAUCUUUAGCUGGUUUUAGAGGAUGAUCAGCAACACUGGGACUGAGACACGGCCCAGACUCCUACGGGAGGCAGCAGUGGGGAAUCUUAGACAAUGGGCGCAAGCCUGAUCUAGCCAUGCCGCGUGUGUGAUGAAGGCCUUAGGGUCGUAAAGCACUUUCGCCAGAGAUGAUAAUGACAGUAUCUGGUAAAGAAACCCCGGCUAACUCCGUGCCAGCAGCCGCGGUAAUACGGAGGGGGUUAGCGUUGUUCGGAAUUACUGGGCGUAAAGCGUACGUAGGCGGAUCAGAAAGUAGGGGGUGAAAUCCCGAGGCUCAACCUCGGAACUGCCUCCUAAACUCCUGGUCUUGAGUUCGAGAGAGGUGAGUGGAAUUCCAAGUGUAGAGGUGAAAUUCGUAGAUAUUUGGAGGAACACCAGUGGCGAAGGCGGCUCACU